GUGUCAGCAGCCGCGGUAAUACGAAUGGGGCAAGCGUUGUUCGGAUUUACUGGGCGUAAAGCGGGCGUAGGCGGCCGGCUAAGUCGGAUGUGAAAUCCCGGGGCUCAACUCCGGAACUGCAUUCGAUACUGGUCGGCUAGAGUUCGAGAGGGGGAUGCGGAAUUCCGCGUGUGGCAGUGAAAUGCGUAGAUAUGCGGAGGAACACCUGAGGCGAAGGCGGCAUCCUGGAUCGACACUGACGCUGAGGCCCGAAAGCGUGGGGAGCAAACAGGAUUAGAUACCCUGGUAGUCCACGCCCUAAACGAUGGCUACUAGCCGUUGCGGGUAUCGACCCCUGCAGUGGCGCAGCUAACGCGAUAAGUAGACCGCCUGGGGAGUACGGCCGCAAGGUUAAAACUUAAAUGAAUUGGCGGGG
This 415-nucleotide ribosomal RNA is filed under the name uncultured prokaryote. RNAcentral's name for it is "bacterial SSU rRNA". It matches the Rfam family "Bacterial small subunit ribosomal RNA", at positions 505 to 918 of the family's 1533-position model. The record is from RNAcentral.